Molecule: ribosomal RNA, 493 nt
Filed under: uncultured bacterium
Lineage: Bacteria
Description: bacterial SSU rRNA
Rfam family: Bacterial small subunit ribosomal RNA
Source: RNAcentral
AAAGGAAUUGACGGGGGCCCGCACAAGCGGCGGAGCAUGCGGAUUAAUUCGAUGCAACGCGAAGAACCUUACCAAGGCUUGACAUACACCGGAAACGGCCAGAGAUGGUCGCCCCGCAAGGUCGGUGUACAGGUGGUGCAUGGUUGUCGUCAGCUCGUGUCGUGAGAUGUUCGGUUAAGUCCGGCAACGAGCGCAACCCUCGUCCUAUGUUGCCAGCACGUAAUGGUGGGAACUCAUGGGAUACUGCCGGGGUCAACUCGGAGGAAGGUGGGGAUGACGUCAAAUCAUCAUGCCCCUUAUGUCUUGGGCUUCACGCAUGCUACAAUGGCCGGUACAGAGGGCUGCGAUGUCGUAAGGCGGAGCGAAUCUCAAAAAGCCGGUCUCAGUUCGGAUUGAGGUCUGCAACUCGACCUCAUGAAGUCGGAGUCGCUAGUAAUCGCAGAUCAGCAACGCUGCGGUGAAUACGUUCCCGGGCCUUGUACACACCGCCCGU